Molecule: ribosomal RNA, 253 nt
Filed under: uncultured bacterium
Lineage: Bacteria
Description: partial 16S ribosomal RNA
Rfam family: Bacterial small subunit ribosomal RNA
Source: RNAcentral
GACGAGGGGUCCAAGCGUUGUCCGGAUUUAUUGGGCGUAAAGCGCGCGUAGGCGGCCCGUUAAGUCGGAUGUGAAAACCCGGGGCUCAACCCCGGGCCUGCAUUCGAUACUGGCGGGCUCGAGGCAGGCAGGGGAGAGUGGAAUUCCUGGUGUAGCGGUGAAAUGCGUAGAGAUCAGGAAGAACACCGGUGGCGAAAGCGCUCUGCUGGACCUAAACUGACGCUGAGACGCGAAAGCGUGGGGAGCGAACAGG